Molecule: ribosomal RNA, 454 nt
Filed under: uncultured bacterium
Lineage: Bacteria
Description: bacterial SSU rRNA
Rfam family: Bacterial small subunit ribosomal RNA
Source: RNAcentral
AACGAACGCUGGCGGCAUGCCUAACACAUGCAAGUCGAACGAAGCCUUCGGGCUUAGUGGCGCACGGGUGCGUAACGCGUGGGAAUCUGCCCUUGGGUUCGGAAUAACAGUUAGAAAUGACUGCUAAUACCGAAUGAUGUCUUCGGACCAAAGAUUUAUCGCCCAAGGAUGAGCCCGCGUCGGAUUAGCUAGUUGGUGAGGUAAAGGCUCACCAAGGCGACGAUCCGUAGCUGGUCUGAGAGGAUGAUCAGCCACACUGGGACUGAGACACGGCCCAGACUCCUACGGGAGGCAGCAGUGGGGAAUAUUGGACAAUGGGCGAAAGCCUGAUCCAGCAAUGCCGCGUGAGUGAUGAAGGCCUUAGGGUUGUAAAGCUCUUUUACCCGGGACUGAUAAUGACAGUACCGGGAGGAAUAAGCCCCGGGCCUAACUCCGUGCCAGCAGCCGCGGUAAU